Suricata suricatta (meerkat) is the source of this 270-nucleotide long non-coding RNA. RefSeq lists it as uncharacterized. The transcript has 2 exons. The record is from RefSeq and is a predicted model, not a curated record. NCBI's taxonomy places the organism in Eukaryota, Metazoa, Chordata, Mammalia, Carnivora, Herpestidae.
GUGAGUACCUGCAGUAUAAUGAAAUGAGGAUGCCUAAUAGUUCCCAAGACAUACAGAUCUAGAUUUAAGAAGAAAGGUCAGAACUAUGAAUACUGGGGAAUUACCAAGAUCACAGCUGAUGCUCCAAUUCAAUUCUGAAUCUCACAAAAAGUUCACAGAAGACUGUACAGAUGUGAAGUGUGACAGGCACCGCAGAACCACAAAAAUUCCUAUUCCUCACUUUUUACAGAGAAAGCACACGGUAAAAAAAAAAAAAAAAAAAAAAAAAAA